This 274-nucleotide ribosomal RNA is filed under the name uncultured bacterium. Its description in RNAcentral is "partial 16S ribosomal RNA". It matches the Rfam family "Bacterial small subunit ribosomal RNA", at positions 523 to 796 of the family's 1533-position model. The record is from RNAcentral.
AUACGGAGGAUGCGAGCGUUAUCCGGAUUUAUUAGGUUUAAAGGGUGUGUAGGCGGUAUUUUAAGUCAGUGGUGAAAUCUUUCAGCUUAACUGAGAAACUGCCAUUGAUACUGGAAUACUUGAGUAUAGUUGAGGUAGGCGGAAUAUGUAAUGUAGAGGUGAAAUGCAUAGAUAUUACAUAGAACACCGAUUGCGAAGGCAGCUUACUAAACUAUUUCUGACGCUGAUGCACGAAAGCGUGGGGUGCGAACAGGAUUAGAUACCCUAGUAGUCC